Molecule: ribosomal RNA, 378 nt
Filed under: Shigella boydii
Lineage: Bacteria; Pseudomonadati; Pseudomonadota; Gammaproteobacteria; Enterobacterales; Enterobacteriaceae
Description: bacterial SSU rRNA
Rfam family: Bacterial small subunit ribosomal RNA
Source: RNAcentral
GCAUGGCUGUCGUCAGCUCGUGUUGUGAAAUGUUGGGUUAAGUCCCGCAACGAGCGCAACCCUUAUCCUUUGUUGCCAGCGGUCCGGCCGGGAACUCAAAGGAGACUGCCAGUGAUAAACUGGAGGAAGGUGGGGACGACGUCAAGUCAUCAUGGCCCUUACGACCAGGGCUACACACGUGCUACAAUGGCGCAUACAAAGAGAAGCGACCUCGCGAGAGCAAGCGGACCUCAUAAAGUGCGUCGUAGUCCGGAUUGGAGUCUGCAACUCGACUCCAUGAAGUCGGAAUCGCUAGUAAUCGUGGAUCAGAAUGCCACGGUGAAUACGUUCCCGGGCCUUGUACACACCGCCCGUCACACCAUGGGAGUGGGUUGCAAA